Molecule: ribosomal RNA, 471 nt
Filed under: uncultured organism
Description: partial 16S ribosomal RNA
Rfam family: Bacterial small subunit ribosomal RNA
Source: RNAcentral
UACACUCCUGCGGGAGGCAGCAGUGAGGAAUAUUGGACAAUGGGUGGAAGCCUGAUCCAGCCAUCCCGCGUGCAGGAAGACGGCCCUAUGGGUUGUAAACUGCUUUUAUCUGGGGAUAAACCUACUUACGUGUAAGUAGCUGAAGGUACCAGAAGAAUAAGCACCGGCUAACUCCGUGCCAGCAGCCGCGGUAAUACGGAGGGUGCAAGCGUUAUCCGGAUUUAUUGGGUUUAAAGGGUCCGUAGGCGGACUGAUAAGUCAGUGGUGAAAUCCGACAGCUUAACUGUCGAACUGCCAUUGAUACUGUUAGUCUUGAGUAAGGUUGAAGUGGCUGGAAUAAGUAGUGUAGCGGUGAAAUGCAUAGAUAUUACUUAGAACACCAAUUGCGAAGGCAGGUCACUAAGUCUUAACUGACGCUGAUGGACGAAAGCGUGGGGAGCGAACAGGAUUAGAAACCCUGGUAGUCCCAUG